AGAAUCAACGCUGGCGGCGUGCCUAACACAUGCAAGUCGCACGAGAAAGUGGAGCAAUCCAUGAGUACAGUGGCGCACGGGUGAGUAACACGUGACUAAUCUACCUCCGAGUGGGGAAUAACCUGGGGAAACCUGGGCUAAUACCGCAUAACACUUACGAGUCAAAGCAGCAAUGCGCUUGGAGAGGAGGUCGCGGUCGAUUAGUUAGUUGGCGGGGUAAUGGCCCACCAAGACGAUGAUCGAUAUCCGGCCUGAGAGGGCGCACGGACACACUGGAACUGAAACACGGUCCAGACUCCUACGGGAGGCAGCAGUGGGGAAUUUUGCGCAAUGGGGGAAACCCUGACGCAGCAACGCCGCGUGGAGGAUGAAGUAUCUUGGUACGUAAACUCCUUUCGAUUGGGAAGAUAAUGACGGUACCAAUAGAAGAAGCCCGGCUAACUUCGCGCCAGCAGCCGC
This 459-nucleotide ribosomal RNA is filed under the name uncultured bacterium. RNAcentral's name for it is "SSU rRNA". It matches the Rfam family "Bacterial small subunit ribosomal RNA", at positions 26 to 518 of the family's 1533-position model. The record is from RNAcentral.